UUCGACUGCAGCAGCAGACAUGAAAGCUCACCUGCCACAUUUCCACUGCAGGAAAACAGCCAUUUGGGGUCCUGCCGACACCAAUUUCCAGCAGCAGAGCGACGCAUGCAGCCUCCCUGCUCCGCCUAAUGCAGCUCUCCACACAAUCUGGCAUCAUCUCUCCAUCAUCUGCAGAUCCCACCUGCCCUCCACCUCCUCCCUCCUCCGGUGUUCCAUCCCUCCGUCCGUCUAUCUGUCCGUCUAUCUGCGCCUCCCCUCAGGCUUCUCUUGUAGUUUCCAGCCCAUCAGCACUUUGGGGGAAGAUGAGAAGAAGCCAGAGCCGAGCCUCGGGGCCGAGAGGCGACGGGAAGAGGGAAGUCUGGAGUGGACGGAGCAGAUGAGCUUCCACUCCUCCACGUCCAGGCGUUGACAAAUGGCCGUCUAAUGACCCGAGAUUAACCGGCUGAGAGGUCAAGAUGAAAAAAAGCAGCUCUGAAGACGGAGGCGAGAGGAAUUUCAUGGAGGGAGAGAAGUGAGUGACUGAGAGUGAGAUGAAUAGACCUCCCUCCAGAGCUCCGUGAGAUGGAAGGAGAUGGAUUACAGCGUUGGACUUACUUAAGUUUUCAUCGAGUUCAGCAGUGGGAGGAGGCCGGCCGGUUAAAGUGGCUCAGACAGAAGCUGUACGAUUCACUUUGGCUCGAAAUAAACUGUAGAAUAUGGAAUAAAAGCAAGAGACAAAAGGCAAAAACUGUCAUUUUAGAUGUUCAGAUUCUGUUCAGAGUUCACCUAAAUGCUCUUUAGGACCCAAACUAAGUUCGGUAAAAUGUUUUCAGACCUCUGAAUCUUUGCAUUUUCACUCUCAAAGAAACAUCUUACCUGUGAAGCCAUUUUAAAGGUUCAGUAUCUCCAGAAAUAAAACUGAAAUGUGGUGAGGAACCAGACAGGAUAGUUCGAUUGACCUUUUAAUUAUGUCAACUGCAGGAACUUUAUAUAGUUUGGUGAGGAUUUUACAAAAUUAUUCAAGGAAACCCAACUAAACUAUUUAGGAAAAUACUUGGCAAUGAUGAUUUAUCUGUUAUUUCUAAUCUAAAACUAAGUUCUGUCAAAUAUUUUGGCUGAAUUUUGAGAAUUAAUAUCCUGUCAGACCUCUGAAUCUUUGCAUACUCUCAAUGAAAUAUCUGUGAAGCCAUUUUAAAGGUUCAAUAUCUCCAGAAAUAAAACUGUCAGAGCCGUGAAAUGUGGUGAGGAACCAGACAGAAUAGUCUCCAGCACAUCUAAAUAAUUAAAUGCAGUCAGCAGAGGACAAUUUUUCUAUUAUUCAACCUUAAAAAUGGAGAAAAAGUGCAAAAUGUUGAUCUGAAAGGACACCGACUGACCUUUUAAUUAUGUCAGCUCCAGGAACUUUAUAUAGUUUGGUGAGGACUUUACAAAGUUAUAUACAAGGAAUUAAUUAAAUGAAAAAAAAAAGCACAGUUUCCAAAUUAAGCUGGUAUUGUGUCUCCAUAAAGUUCCUGUAUAUACAGUAUAUGGAUGGGUCCAUAUUUCUACUAAAAUACAGUCUUUUCUUCAACUUUUGAGGCUUUAACAUCUGUGUUGUUGGGGUUUCUUCAUGAUAACUAAAAUAUUCUCUCAUUCACUGUAAUUUUUCUUUACACAGUUGUUGGGCUUAUAAAUUUUAAUAGUUCCUUCAUUUGUUUUUUUUUUGCUGCCAGAAAACAGCAUUGAGCAGUGUUCUGUAAAAUAUGCACACCUGUCUGAUGUAUUUUAUACUUUACAGGUAAAUAUACACAGUUUAUAGCUGCUUUAAAACCUUUCUUUCUGUACUUGUGUGUGUUUUAGGAGUAAAAUUCUAUCUUUUUCAUUCAUUGUUUGUUUGGUCUGUUUUCCCUCUUUCUGUCUGUUUGUCUACCUGUUUGAUGUGGUUCCAGAGACACUAUUUUGUUGACCCGGG
Long non-coding RNA from Amphiprion ocellaris (clown anemonefish), 1930 nucleotides. The record is from Ensembl. Lineage: Eukaryota; Metazoa; Chordata; Actinopteri; Pomacentridae.